ACAAAACAGAGUUACACUUUUGUAUGCUGGCAAAACAGAGUUACACAGAAUCCACCUCAUGAAGCACAGCCACGAUUAGUGGCUGUCUGUGGAAAUCCAUCUUGACAGCAUGUGAAUACAGCCAGAAGCCUUCAUUUUCAGGUGUCGGCAGGUGUUUCCUUACUCCUGAUUGAAGACUGCGGCAGGAAGCAAAGGAAAGCCAGAAGACAGGGAAAUGUUGUAGGAUGGCUGGCCAUCCCUGAAGAUGGACCUUGCAGGGGAUGAAAACAACUUCAGUAAUUAUCCAACUGUGUGUAAGGACAAAAUAAUCAAGGAUUUUUGUCUCUGGACUCUAUUCACCAGAUGUUUCAAUAUGGACGGAGAUUUAUCACUUUUUCCCAGACUGUUGUUCAUCUCUUCAAACUUGGGGCUAAACUAAGAACCAAGAUGCCACCACCCAGUCACACAUGUCCCAGAUUUCAUCUGAAAAUUGUUGGAGAAUAUUUAUUCGUUUAAUGUAUUGUCGAAAGCUUCAUGGCCGGAAUAACUGGAUUGUCGGGCUGUAUGGCCAUGUUCUAGAAGCAUUAUCUCCAGACGUUUCAUCUGCAUCUAUGGCAGGCAUCCUGCCACCCUGCACUGCCCUCCUAUACACAAAGCAAUCUUAUUUUGGGGGGCAGGAUACUGUUCUAGGAGGCAUGUUUUUUCUGCCAUGUUUCUGCCCCCCCCAGACUAUUUUAGAUCAAAGAGAGACUUUUAAAAAAAAUAACAUUAAGUAUCUGGAAGUAGUUUCCUGUUUAUUUAAUUCACAUGUGUCAAAUACAGACUGAAUCUGGCCCACCAUGUCACUUUAUGUGGCCCAUGAGGCCUUCAAUGCCAGGGUAACAUAAUUACAUUUACACUGUGCUCCAAUUACAAACAGCCAUUUGAAAGCCACCAUAAGGCUGAUGUGGCCCUCAGUGAAAAUGAGCUUGACACGCUAAUAAUAAUAAUAAUAAUAAUAAUAAUAAUAAUAAUAAUAAUACUUUAUUUGUACCACGCUACCAUCUCCCCAAGGGACUCGGUUCAGCUAACUUAAGAUGUCUGAAAAAGUCUCUUGAGACUGAAAUGGAGGAGAGAAAAAUGUGGUAAAAACUUCUGUCUUAUUAGACAUAAUUCAAAGAUCUUUGAGACUUUUUAAA
This is a long non-coding RNA of Anolis sagrei ordinatus, 1157 nucleotides long. RefSeq lists it as uncharacterized. The record is from RefSeq and is a predicted model, not a curated record. NCBI's taxonomy places the organism in Eukaryota, Metazoa, Chordata, Lepidosauria, Squamata, Anolidae.